RNAcentral lists this ribosomal RNA (60 nucleotides) under Astragalus membranaceus. Its description in RNAcentral is "partial 26S ribosomal RNA". It matches the Rfam family "Eukaryotic large subunit ribosomal RNA", at positions 1 to 57 of the family's 3401-position model. Lineage: Eukaryota; Viridiplantae; Streptophyta; Magnoliopsida; Fabales; Fabaceae. The record is from RNAcentral.
ACGAGACCUCAGGUCAGGCGGGGCUACCCGCUGAGUUUAAGCAUAUCAAUAAGCGGAGGA